UGAGCAAUCUGCCCUUCACAUCGGAAUAACCAUUGGAAACGAUGGCUAAUACCGAAUAUGACUUCGGAUCGCAUGAUCUGAAGUGGAAAGCUCCGGCGGUGAAGGAUGAGCUCGCGGCCUAUCAGCUAGUUGGUGAGGUAAUAGCUCACCAAGGCAACGACGGGUAGCCGGCCUGAGAGGGUGACCGGCCACACUGGGACUGAGACACGGCCCAGACUCCG
RNAcentral lists this ribosomal RNA (221 nucleotides) under uncultured bacterium. RNAcentral's name for it is "partial 16S ribosomal RNA". It matches the Rfam family "Bacterial small subunit ribosomal RNA", at positions 118 to 340 of the family's 1533-position model. The record is from RNAcentral.